UACAGAGGGUGCAAACGUUGCUCGGAAUCAUUGGGCGUAAAGCGCACGUAGGCGGUCUUGUAAGUCAGGAGUGAAAGCCCUCGGCUUAACCGGGGAAGUGCUUUUGAAACUGCAAGACUUGAAUACUGGAGAGGAUCGCGGAAUUCCCGGUGUAGAGGUGAAAUUCGUAGAUAUUGGGAAGAACACCGGUGGCGAAGGCGGCGAGCUGGCCUGUACCUGACGCUGAGGCGCGACAGCGUGGGGAGCAAACAGG
RNAcentral lists this ribosomal RNA (253 nucleotides) under uncultured bacterium. RNAcentral describes it as "partial 16S ribosomal RNA". It matches the Rfam family "Bacterial small subunit ribosomal RNA", at positions 524 to 776 of the family's 1533-position model. The record is from RNAcentral.